RNAcentral lists this ribosomal RNA (151 nucleotides) under uncultured Nevskia sp. RNAcentral describes it as "partial 16S ribosomal RNA". It matches the Rfam family "Bacterial small subunit ribosomal RNA", at positions 381 to 525 of the family's 1533-position model. The record is from RNAcentral. Lineage: Bacteria; Pseudomonadati; Pseudomonadota; Gammaproteobacteria; Nevskiales; Nevskiaceae.
GCCUGAUCCAGCCAUGCCGCGUGUGUGAAGAAGGCCUUCGGGUUGUAAAGCACUUUCUGAUGGGAAGAAAAAACUUUACUUAAUACGUGAAGUCUUGACGGUACCAUCAGAAUAAGCACCGGCUAACUCUGUGCCAGCAGCCGCGGUAAUA